Xyrichtys novacula (pearly razorfish) is the source of this 5329-nucleotide non-coding RNA. Lineage: Eukaryota; Metazoa; Chordata; Actinopteri; Labriformes; Labridae. The record is from the annotation of a GenBank genome assembly.
CUUCACUGCUCAUGUUCUCCUCAGAAGCAGUCACCUCACUCCCCUCAGGUUACUGUACACAUGCACCAACUGCCUGCUUCAGGUUUGGAUGGAGCUUCAUGGUUGUCUUUUGGAGAAAUGACCAGUCAAGUUGUGUUUGAAAUUUGAUUUUUUUCAGGGGCAAAAGGAGCCUCUGCAUUCUUGUCAAAUAUGUAAAUAGCAUGUUUUUGCAGGUGCUAAAAACCAGACUCUGAGUGUGUGUGUGCGUGUGUGUGUGUGUCUGUGUGUGUGUGUGUGUGUGUGUGCGUUCAAGUCACAUGACAUAUUUAACCGGAUGUAGCUGCAAGACGGAGCCUCGUUGACUCCGUUUCAACUUAUCUCAAAAGUGAGGACCUCAACCUAUAUACCAGUUUUUAAAUUGUGUUGAUAGGCCAAAUAAAACCAGAGUUAUGAUAAAUUAUGUCCGCGAUACUUGUUUUCUGCUUAUUUUGAUCACGUUCGGCGCUCGAUCGCGCUGUAUGAGACAGGAAAACAUAGCAUGCAGACAUUAGCGACAGGUCUUACAGGCGGAAAAGGCUUGCCAAAGGAAAAAAAAAACACACCACAACAUCUCUCCUAUUGGUGGAAAACUUCACCACAACAACCAAUCCAAAAUUAUAUGGUGACUGAUUGACAAGGGGCGGGCGCUUACGUUCUUCCUGCAAUAUGAGAAGGGAGGGAGGGACUCUCAGCAGGGAUGCAGUCUGGGACACGUAGUUGCAAACCUAGCGACUUUGUUGUUAGAUUCAAUGACUUUUCAGACCCCCUAACGACUUUUUUUUAGAAAGAAAGUGACUUUUAUCGACUUCUUCUGGAGUUUAGAGACUCUGACAUGAAGCAGGCUUUCCUUACUGAGGAGUUAGCAACGCCGCUAAGGGUGCAGAGCCACACAUGCGCUCCGAGCUCUGCAUGGGAGACUGAAGCUGACAGAGCUGCAGCAGUUAGCAGGUUUCACCCUCAGAGACCACCAGGGGUUCAUGUUGAGGCAUUUUCAGUUUUUUGUUUUUUUUUUGCCAUAGACACUGUCAGCACAAUCUGCAGUUACACUAACAAAAAUGCUGCAAAAAACAAAGAAUUAUGGAAAAAUUACACAUGGACUAACAUAGAGGAGGAUCUACACAAGUUUUUUACAUCAUGUUUUACAUCAUGCAUCAUUUACAUCAUGUUUUUUUGUAGUGGCAUAAAUAAAAAGUGACAUUUGUGAGACUAUACAGUGUUUUGUAAAUAAUUUUACAAAGAACACCUGGGCCAUUGCCUGCAUUUUGAUAUAAAUAGAGGUAAAUUACUAUGUUCUUUGUUAAAAAUUUGCAUAUGUUUUGAAGUUUACAAUUUUUAUUUGAAGUUAAAGUUUUAAAAACAGUUCAUCACACAUAUUUGUGGUUUUCACAGUAAAAACGUUACUUUUUUCCACUCGGAUUUUAUGUUUUGUGUGUGAAUUUGGGUCCAAUGUGUAAAUAUAGUAUGUCAAAAUGAUAAAAUAACUGUAAAUUGACACAGGUGAGGUUGUGCUGAAAAAAAUGAUACCAGGCAAGGCAAGGUAAAAAUUUUGUAAGAGGAAAUAUAAAGGUAAAAUCUAAAGUAGUCAAAAACGGCCAAUAGUGACUCACAGACUCCACAGUCCCUUUGGCGCCACUCAGUGGGCAAAACUACUUUGUCUACUGUAAUGUAUAUUUGGGUCAUCUUUGGCGCCCCCUAAAACGUAAACCGUGGGGUGCAGCGUCAUGAUUUUUACAACUUUGAAUGGCCAUGGAGUGUAGAUUGGCCUGAGCAAAUUUGGUGUCAGUGGGACGAAAGCCUUAGGAGGAGUUAGCGAAAUUCCAAUGUGUGCGAAUCGGCAAAAAAUGCAAAAUAGCCCUUUUACCGUACAUUAUACAGAUACGCGCUCUUUGACUUUUUCGUAGAUCUAAUUGAGAUACACAUGAUUGUCAAUUUUUGUGUCAUUUUGCCAAAGCGUACAGGCGUGACACUCAACAAUGUGUAUUUUCACCUUAGGGGACAAGAAAAAAUGGACUUUUUUCUCCUGCCAUGGGGGGGCGCUCGUUUAGGGAGUAAAAAUUCCUUCACAAGUGUGUUGAUGGCUGGACAUUGCAUCAUCCUAGAGAACUUGGAGGCCAGUGAGGACAAAAAUAAAAAGUUAUAAGACUUUUAAGACUGUGGAUUUUUGGGUUAUCUUUGGCGCCCCCUAGAACCUAAACCGUGGGGUGCAGCGUCAUGAUUUGUACAACUUUGAAUGGCCAUGGGUUGUAGAUUGGCCUGAGCAACUAUGGUGUCAGUGGGACGAAAGCCUUCGGAGGAGUUAGCGAAAUUCCAAUGUGUGCGAAUCGGCAAAAAAUGCAAAAUAGCCCUUUUACCGUACAUUAUACAGAUACGCGCUCUUUGACUUUUUCGUAGAUCUAAUUGAGAUACACAUGAUUGUCAAUAUUUGUGUCAAUAUGACAAAGAGUUCAGGCGUGACACUCAACAAUGUGUAUUUUCACCUUAGGGGACAAGAAAAAAUUGACUUUUUUCUCCUACCAUGGGGGGGCGCUCUUUUGGGGAGUAAAAAUUCCUUCACAAAUGUAUUGAUGGCUGGACAUUGCAUCAUCCUAGAAAACUUGGAGGCCAGUGAGGACAAAAAUAAAAAGUUAUAAGACUUUUAAAUAUUUGGAUUUUAGGGUUAUCUUUGGCGCCCCCUAAAACCUAAACCGUGGGGUGCAGCGUCAUGAUUUUUACAACUUUUAAUGGCCAUGGGGUGUAGAUUGGCCUGAGCAAAUUUGGUGCCGGUGGAACGAAAGCCUUCGGAGGAGUUAGCGAAAUUCCAAUGUGUGCGGAUCGGCAAAAAAUGCAAAAUAACCCUUUAACCGUACAUUUGACAGAUACGCGCGCAUUGACUUUUUCGUAGAUCUUAUUGAGAUACACGUGCGUGUCAAUUUUUGUGUCAAUAUGACAAAGCGUUUAGGCGUGACACUCAACAAUGUGUAUUUUCAUGUUAGGGGACAAGAAAAACUUGACUUUUUUCUUCUGCCAUGGGGGGGCGCUCUUUUGGGGAGUAAAAAUUCCUUCACACAUGUGUUGAUGGCUGGACAUAGCAUCAUCCUAGAAAACUUGGAGGCCAGUGAGGACAAAAAUAAAAAGUUAUAAGACUUUUAAGAAUGUGGACUUUUGGGUUAUCUUUGGCGCCCCCUAGAACAUAAACCGUGGGGUGCAGCGUCAUGAUUUGUACAACUUUUAAUGGCCAUGGGGUGUAGAUUGGCCUGAGCAAAUUUGGUGCCGGUGGAACGAAAGCCUUCGGAGGAGUUAGCGAAAUUCCAAUGUGUGCGGAUCGGCAAAAAAUGCGAAAUAGCCCUUUAACCGUACAUUUGACAGAUACGCCCGCACUGACUUUUUUGUAGAUCUUAUUGAGAUACACAUGUGUGUCAAAUUUUGUGUCAUUUUGACAAAGCGUACAGGCGUCAGGUGAGUUUUCACCAUAGGGGGCGCUAUGGAGCCAUUUUUCAUUUUUUUGUUUGGGCGACUUCAGAAUAUCAAAUUUUUCACCAGGCCCGGUCGUCCUGCCAAAUUUCCUGAGUUUUCGCCAGUGGGAAGUGGGCCAUUUUCCAGUUUAAAGCGGAGGAAAAAUAACGAAAGAAGAAUCCAUCAGGACCAAGAGGGCUCUCGCAGCUGCUUAGCAGCUACGCUCGGGCCCUAAAAAGUUAUAAGACUUUUAAAAAUGUGGAUUUUUGGGUUAUCUUUGGUGCCCCCUAGAAUGUAAACCGUGGGGUGCAGCGUCAUGAUUUGAAUAACUUUUAAUGGCCAUGGGGUGUAGAUUGGCCUGAGCAAAUGUGGUGCCGGUGGAACGAAAGCCUUCGGAGGAGUUAGCGAAAUUCCAAUGUGUGCGAAUCGGCAAAAAAUGCGGAAUAACCCUUUAACCGUACAUUUGACAGAUACGCGCGCACUAACUUUUUUGUAGAUCUUAUUGAGAUACAUGUGUGUGUCAAUUUUUGUGUCAUUUUGACAAAGCGUACAGGCGUGACACUCAACAAUGUGUAUUUUCACCUUAGGGGACAAGAAAAAAUGGACUUUUUUCUCCUGCCAUGGGGGGGCGCUCUUUUGGGGAGUAAAAAUUCCUUCACAAAUGUGUUGAUGGCUGGACAUUGCAUCAUCCUAGAAAACUUGGAGGCCAGUGAGGGCAAAAAUCAAAAGUUAUAAGACUUUUAAAAAUGUGGAUUUUAGGGUUAUCUUUGGCGCCCCCUAGAACGUAAACCGUGGGGUGCAGCGUCAUGAUUUGAAUAACUUUUAAUGGCCAUGGGGUGUAGAUUGGCCUGAGCAAAUGUGGUGCCGGUGGAAUGAAAGCCUUCGGAGGAGUUAGCGAAAUUCCAAUGUGUGCGGAUCGGCAAAAAAUGCGAAAUAGCCCUUUAACCGUACAUUUGACAGAUACGCCCGCACUGACUUUUUUGUAGAUCUUAUUGAGAUACAUGUGUGUGUCAAUUUUUGUGUCAUUUUGACAAAGCGUACAGGCGUGAAAGUCAAUAGUGUGAAUUUUCACCUUAGGGGGCGCUAUGGAGCCAUUUUGCAUUUUCUUGUUUGGGCGACUUCGGAAUAUCAAAUUUUUCACCAGGCCCGGUCGUCCUGCCAAAUUUCAUGAGUUUUCGCCAGUGGGAAGUGGGCCAUUUUCCAGUUCAAAGGGGAGGAAAAAGAAACUAGGGCCCCGUUGGGGCACUGGCGGGCCCGAGCUGUGUCGCGCCCCCCCCCCAACGCGCUGCCUCCCCGUCCCAUUCGCGUCCUCUGGCCAUCGUCCUCUCUGGUAACGCCCAUCACUGCAAAGACCCUUUUCCUUCAUCGGCGUUUGCUGUUCUUCCUGCCAGUGCGUGUUGCUUUCACUUACACUUGCCACAGCCAGCCUCGUGAGUGCCUAGCCUAUUGGAUAUUACUGUCACCUACACAGGACAGUCAUUACCUUUCUAUUAAUACUUUGUUUUUUAAUUUCACAUUAAUUUCCAUAUUGUAUAAACGACUGGAAAAAACUUGAGCCCCUGCCCCUGUAUAAUCAUGUGCACGUCCCUGUUCUCGCUCCAAGGUGAAUCUUCACUGCUCAUGUUCUCCUCAGAAGCAGUCACCUCACUCCCCUCAGGUUACUGUACACAUGCACCAACUGCCUGCUUCAGGUUUGGAUGGAGCUUCAUGGUUGUCAUUUGGAGAAAUGAACAGUCAAGUUGUGUUUGAAAUUUGAUUUUUUUCGGGGCAAAAGGAAGCCUCUGCAUUCUUGUCAAAUAUGUAAACAGCAUGUUUUUGCAGGUGCUAAAAAACAGACUCUGAGUGUGUGUGUGUGUGUGUGUGUGUGUGUGUGUGUGUG